RNAcentral lists this unclassified non-coding RNA (400 nucleotides) under soil metagenome. Its description in RNAcentral is "partial contains 5.8S ribosomal RNA, internal transcribed spacer 2, and large subunit ribosomal RNA". The stretch from base 1 to 122 matches the Rfam family "5.8S ribosomal RNA", at positions 35 to 154 of the family's 154-position model. The record is from RNAcentral.
GAUGAAGAACGCAGCGAAAUGCGAUACUUGGUGUGAAUUGCAGAAUCCCGUGAACCAUCGAGUCUUUGAACGCAAGUUGCGCCUCAAGCCAUUAGGUUGAGGGCACGUCUGCCUGGGCGUCACAUAUCGUUGCCUGAUGCCAGUUUCCUCGUGAUGGGUGACUGUGCAGGGCGAAUGAUGGCUUCCCGUGAGCAUUGUUGCCUCAUGGUUGGUUGAAAAUUGAGUCCUUGGUAGGGAGCGCCGUGAUAGAUAGUGGUUGAGUGACGAACGAGACCCAAUCAUGUGAGACCCCUACCGAAUUUGGCCUUCAUGACCCACAUGCGUCUUUGGAACGCUCAUGACGAGACCUCAGGUCAGGCGGGGCUACCCGCUGAGUUUAAGCAUAUCAAUAAGCGGAGGA